AACCUCCGCAAUGUGAGAAAUCGCGACGGGGGGAUCCCAAGUGCCAUUCCUAACGGGAUGGCUUUUCAUUAGUGUAAAAAGCUUUUGGAAUAAGAGUUGGGCAAGACCGGUGCCAGCCGCCGCGGUAACACCGGCAGCUCUAGUGGUAGCAAUUUUUAUUGGGCCUAAAGCGUCCGUAGCCGGUUUAAUAAGUCUCUGGUGAAAUCCUGUAGCUUAACUGUGGGAAUUGCUGGAGAUACUAUUAGACUUGAGACCGGGAGAGGUUAGAGGUACUCCCAGGGUAGAGGUGAAAUUCUGUAAUCCUGGGAGGACCGCCUGUUGCGAAGGCGUCUAACUGGAACGGUUCUGACGGUGAGGGACGAAAGUUAGGGGCGCGAACCGGAUUAGAUACCCGGGUAGUCCUAACUGUAAACGAUGCGGACUUGGUGUUGGGGUGGCUUUGAGCUGCUCCAGUGCCGAAGGGAGCGUGUUAAGUCCGUCGCCUGGGAAGUACGGUCGCAAGACUGAAACUUAAAGGAAUU
Molecule: ribosomal RNA, 521 nt
Filed under: uncultured bacterium
Lineage: Bacteria
Description: bacterial SSU rRNA
Rfam family: Archaeal small subunit ribosomal RNA
Source: RNAcentral